UGCCCUUUGUACACACCGCCCGU
This 23-nucleotide non-coding RNA is filed under the name Arabidopsis thaliana (thale cress). The record is from RNAcentral. Lineage: Eukaryota; Viridiplantae; Streptophyta; Magnoliopsida; Brassicales; Brassicaceae. RNAcentral also lists the same sequence under 2 other names.